This 241-nucleotide ribosomal RNA is filed under the name uncultured bacterium. RNAcentral's name for it is "partial 16S ribosomal RNA". It matches the Rfam family "Bacterial small subunit ribosomal RNA", at positions 524 to 765 of the family's 1533-position model. The record is from RNAcentral.
UACGUAGGGUGCGAGCGUUAAUCGGAAUUACUGGGCGUAAAGCGUGCGCAGGCGGUUUUGUAAGCCAGGUGUGAAAUCCCCGGGCUCAACCUGGGAAUGGCAUUUGGGACUGCAAGGCUGGAGUGCGGCAGAGGAGACUGGAAUUCCUGGUGUAGCAGUGAAAUGCGUAGAUAUCAGGAGGAAUACCGAUGCGAAGGCAGGUCUCUGGGCUGACACUGACGCUCAUGCACGAAAGCGUGGG